UUUUUUUUUUUUUUUUUUGGACACGGCGUGAAGUCACUUGAUGUGGGAUCCCACCUUCUAGGCCAGGGUUGAACCUGGGCUGCAGUGGUGAAAGCAUUGAAUCCUAACUGCUAGACCACCAGAGAACUCUCUGAUUUUUAGUUUGAUUUGAGUAAGGGGAAAUUGAAAAAAAAAAAAAAAAGAAAGAAAGAAAAGAAAAAAACCCUGGUUCAUGGCUCAGCGUCUUGAUUUUUUCUGAUGUCACAAAAGGAUUUGACCUUACCCUUCAGUUGAAUCUCAUCCUGUAACCAUUUGCUUUUCACUGUCUCUUUAUGGUGUCUCCUCUGUCAUAAGGAUAUGAAAUACCCCUGAAUCUUUACAAUCAGUGAUCUUCCUUAACAUCUGGACUUCUUGGAUAUCUGCCUGGGACCACUCACCACUCACAAGACCAUGCACAAACACUCUUGUAGCCCUGCUCAGAGUUGACUGAUACUCAGAGCUAGAAACUCAUCCUGGGCUGGAGAGACGUGAGACCGGAGAGUCAGAUGAUGGCUCUAAUGGAAAAAUUAAUGACCUCUAGUACUUCUGUCUACAUCUUCUUUGUUUGGACAUUCUGGAAGUCUGUGCUUCCACACGGACAAAUGGAGCCGUGACUACAUAAUCAAAACAACUGGUGGAAAACUGGAAAAUUCAAUAAUUGUGUUUUGCCUAGACAAUCUCUAUGGCCAGUCUGAUUAAUUGUUUUUACUGUAUUGACUAUCUUCUUUUUGAAUAAUUGGUUUUUCCCACUACAAAAGGUAAUGUAUAUUCAUUAUGGGAAAUAUACACACUAUAUUAAAGUACAGCUGUGAGUAUUUUUUAAAUCCAGCUUUUCUAUACUAAUAUUUUUGAAUCUCUCUCUCUCUCUCUUUUUUUUUUUAAUUGGUCUUUUGUCUUUUUUCAGGGCCGCACCCAUGGCAUAUGGAGGUUCCCAGGUUAGGGGUCGAAUUGGAGCUACAGCUGCUGGCCCACACCACAGCCACAGCAAUGUGGGAUCCAAGCCACAUCUGUGACCUACACCACAGCUCACGGCAAUGCCAGAUCCUCAAACCACUGAGCAAGGCCAGGGAUUGACCAGCAACCUCAUAGUUACUAGUCGGGUUUGUUAACAACUGAGCCACUACAGGAACUCCCAAUGUUUUUGAAUAUCUCUUAAAAGUCUUUAAAAAUUUUCUUAUUUAUCUAUAUGUAUAUAUAUUUUUACAUAUACCCUCUAUCUAGUAUUUGUAAUGUUUCUCUUACCUAAAAAAAAAAUUGUGAUUAUUUUCCUAGAUUAUUAUUAAAUAUUAUUUUCCACCAUGAUAUAAUUAUUGAAUAGUACCAUAAUUGUCUUUAACCAGUCCCUUGUUGUUAGACAACUAAAUGGCUUCUAAUUUUCAAAGUUAUAAAUACAUAAAAUACUGAUGAACAAUUCUAAACAUAAUUUUUGUGCAGAUAUCAGAUAUUAGUAGUGAUUAUAAUCUGAAUGAAUUUUUGCUGAAUAUUACUGAUGAAUUGACAACUAAGUGCAUGUAAGAGCAGAAUUAAAUCUGUUGAAUGAUUACCUAUAUUUUUUUUUAGUCCAGUAGGACAAAAAUCCAGGAGUAUAAUGCUACCUUAAAAUCCUGUACUGGUGUAUUCAACAGCAUACUUUCACAUACUUAACAUACUUUGAUAGCAAUACUCUCAUCAACCCUCUGAGCUAGGAGCGAAGAAAGAGGACCAACACGUCCUGGUUCUGUGCUAGUCUUCUUGUUUAUUGUUUGUUUGUUUGUUCAUUUUUUGCUUUUUAGGGCCACACGAUGGAAGUCCCCAGGCUAGAGGUCAAAUUGGAGCUGCAGCUGCUGGCCUAUGCACCACAGUCACAGCAACACAGGAUCUGAGCCACAUCUGUGACCUACACCACAACUCACAAAAACGCCAUAUCCUUAACCCCCUGAGCAAGGCCAGGGAUCAAACCUGUAUCCUCAUGGAUACUAAUCAGGUUCAUUACUGCUAAACCACAAUGUAACUCCUGUGCUAGGCUUUGCGUAUGUUAUUUCAUGGUAUGAUUUAAAUAGGUGUCUUAGACUUGACUAACAUCUUACCAUUACUUAGGCUAUUCAAUGUAUAUGGCUUAGAGGCAAUUUGAAGGUAGGAGUAUUUGAAGCUCUGUCUUCUAUUUCAUGUAAGUCUAAAAGGAGAUGUAUCAUUAAUUCAGGCAGCGAAUUCGGGGAGGGAAUUCAGGGAGGGAAUCUCCCUGAGAGUUCUUGUUCUGGAAGUUAACUGCUUCUAAAGAAGAAUCAUAGAUAUUUAUUAGUUAGGUGGACCUUUCUUCAGAUUUCUACAAAGGAAUCAGAAUUUGUAUUUGGCCCAACAACUAAGCAUCUUGGAUUCUAUACAAGUCACUGUGUAUGCUCAUACCUUCUUGGCCAUAUUACCCAAAUCAAGAGUAACUUCUCCAUGUCAUGGCCCUUAACAAGAUGUGGUGGCAUGGGACUUUUGAAAGGUCUCCAGGGGUCCAGGGGAGCUGUGUUUCUAGAAGAGCAUGGAGAAUAGCAUAGUUACUAGAGGUCUCUUGAGUCUUAGUUGAAACACAAUUCAUUCAGAGGGAUACCAAGUCACGAGGCCUUUGUAAAUCUUUUCCUAAUUUGGUUCCCACCAUCCCAUUACUUCUGAUAAUGGCAAUUAUUUCUCAUUGCUGAAGUUACAACAUAACUUCCGUAGAAUCACUCUGGCCUUUUGCGAUUCUGCACUAUUUAGAGCCUAUAAUACAAGACAUUUCUCUCUGGUGUGAAAAUCAACUUACAGCAUAUCUGAACUCCUUUUGCAGAAGUCUAGAGGAGACUGUGAUGCUUUGCAGUCCUUUGUGGAGAGGGCUGCACAUGGAGACCAGCCAUGGACUUCUGGUAUGUGUGUCUAUAGAACAAAUUGUAUACUAGGACAUUAUCUGUGAGGAGAGACUGGACUGUGCAGGAACAUGGUUCAUUCUGGAGAAGACUGACUGUUUUAUUAAUUAAAAAGGUAAUCACUGGAUUGGGACAAAUGCCUAUUAUAAUUUGUCUAUGUACAUCCUAAAUCAGCAAUAGAAAAAUGCUGUAACAAUAGGGUAAGAGACUAUGUUCAACAAUACCUAAUUUUACACCUAGUAUUUCUAUUAACAUGGCAGACUUUUCAGUAGUGUUCACUGGUAUUUUGAGUGGGGGAGACCUUAAAUAGUUGCUUUUUUAAUACUUCAGAUCUAGGUUAUUGCAUAGACAAAGAAAUACUCACUAUUUUGAGCCCCUGAGAGCCCAAGACUUGCAAAGCAUAUAAAGUAGAAAGAUAGUUUAAGUGUCUCUUAAGUUUCUGCAUAAAUCUAAAUGGCUCUUUAAUAAUUAAAGCAACCCUAAUCUUUUGAGGCCAUCUACUGGAAUAAACAUUAGGAAACUUGACCCUUUCUAUGACAAGAGUCAGCUACACUCCAGUGUGAGAGAAUUGGGGAACCCAAGAGGAGGCCUUUGAUCUAGUACCACAAUGUACUCACUCUUUGACAUUCACUGAUAUAAGCAAUUGGGGCGCCAACAAGGUCCCUUGCUCAGAGAAGUGAAGAUAAGAACUGGGUAUAAAUAACCAGAGAAGUGAUGAAUCUUAACAAAUAAACAAGCAGAAACAUUCUUCAACUUAAGUCAUAGCUUUCAAUGAGCAAGUUCAUGCAGGAAGAAACAUGAUAAUGGUUAGAGAAUGAAUAUGUAAGACCAAAAAUAUCCCUUCAGAUUUAUAGGAUAAUAUUAUAUACAAUAUCUCAUCUCCAACAUCAAAUGAGUUCUGCUAGAAAAAAAUCACAUUGCCCAGUUGUUCCCUUUGGAAGUACCAGUUCAUUUACUUAAAAAAAAAUGUUAUUUUUGUAUCCCUUAGCUUGUCAGUGCAUCUCUGUGUGUACACCAGUGCCUCUAGUUGGUUUGUUUUACUCAUUUAACCUGGGAGUCUUAGAAUUCUAUUGAUUGCAUUUGUUGUCAAAUCAAAACCAAAACGAAGAAUCAGACCGACAAAAAACUGGCAUUGCUUCAAGGGAAAUUUGCUAUCAUAUCAGACCACUGAUUUGAAUGUAAUACAAGACUGUAUAGUUUUUACAUUAGGAUUAGUAAUUACAUGUGUGCAUUUUAAUUAAACCGACUGAUGUUCUCUCAGUGCCUAUUUGAGCCUGUAAAGCUAGGAAGCCCAAAUUUACUGCAUUCUCAAAGGAAGAAAAUAGCAUACCUCAGAAGCAUAUAUUGUAUUUUUGCUUGAUAUUUAUUACUGCCAGAAUUGCCAUCCUUGGUUAUGAAACCUGAGGUGAAUUGGGAUACAUUUCAGUCUGAGGAUAGUUUUAAUUUAGAACAAGUAAAAUGAAACCAUCUGAUGUGACACUGUUUAGAAACUAAUGCAAGGAGAGAUUAUAGAUUUGGAAAUUAAGUAAACUCAACAAAAAGGCAAAUAGCUGUUAGUAACCAGAAUAAUUCUCCUAAAUGGUGGUCUCUGAGUUGAUGACGUAAAUGAAUUUAUACGUAGGAUAUUAAAGCUCUCCUAUGCUAUAGAUGUACCAAGCAGCCCCAAAUCAAAAUGUAUUAAACCUUUAAAAACACUGCAUCCAUCAAUUUUCUAUCAAUUGAAACGCUUUAUAUGUUACAUAAAGGAAAGAGAAUGAAAGCAUGAGAACUGUUACAGGCUGAUAUUUUGUUAUACUUCUGUUAGAAAAGACAGAAGUCCUCAUCUCAGGGCCCCAUAUAAGAAAUGAGGAGGGACUGGAUGUCGUCACUCUCAUCACUUCAGAAAGGAAAUGAAAAGUGUCAUUUAGUGCCAGGUGAAAUGAGACCAGAAAGUACCUAUGUCAUCUUUGUCAGUGCUUUUACUGCUUUAACUACUUUAUAUAAUUCAAAGAAAGAAACCUCCCCAAAGAGAGAUGGCUGUAAAUGCAAUGUGAGAAAUACAUGAAUAAUAUCUAAUAUUAUCAAGACCAGAAAUUAAAAGAGCUUGUAGAAAAUCCUUUUUGUCUCAUCUUGGAGUUUUGAACUUUUCUCUCAAUGCUUAAAAAAAUGAGCAGAUGAAUUAAGGGAGGAUCUAGAAGGGAGAAGGGCCUCUCCUCUGAUCUUUAGCCAAGAAUGCUCCUUAAAUAACUCCCCAGCAAUCUGGAGAGGCACCAUUACAUCAUCAUCAUUUCACAAACAAGGAAACUGAGACCGAGAGAGAUCAGACAUCUCUUUAACUACCACCCUUCAGGAAGGUGGGUAGUGAAAUGAGAAACCUUGUCUGCCCACUCCAUUGAAUGAUUUUUCAAAUAGCAGGGUGAGAAUGACCAGAUAAUCAUGAAAGAUGUGAAAGUAAAGAAUGUAUAUUUGGUUGGUUAAAUAAAAUUGAUUAUUUGAAAACCAUAGGUAAAAGGACUUAAAUGUCACUGCUAUAGACCCCAACCCUCAAGAAGGGAAAAAGGAGGCACUCAUCUCUUUAAAGCAAAAAUGAGAUGUAUUUAGACUAGAGAGGAAACUCCUGGGGUUGUUUCUCUACCCUACAGUAAACUAAGGUUGUAACACCUCCUGAGAAUAAGGAUAUACAAUGAUAAAUUCCUGUCAGAAUUGCCCAAAUAAAUAUGAAGUUACUUAGUUUUCUGGAUUUGGACUUGUUUGGGUUCCAAGAGUCAAAUUCUUUUGGACCUCACAAACACUUGAGGCUUUGGUAAGCCAUGACCUUUUAACAUUGAUGCAAACAAAAAACCAGCACAUUUUAGGAGUCUUUUUUUCAGUCAACCUUAGGAAUAUUUUUGGAGCCAGAUGACAUAAUUACACUCAUUUUGUAGUCAACCACACCCCAUGAUUGAACAACAGAAACGGUAUUCGUCAUAUCGCAAAUCCUCUGUACAGCCCAAAGUAGUUUCAAAUUAUUUAUAUAUAGUAAAAAUUUGGAAAACUUUCAAAGGACAAAUAUCCCCAAGUCUAGGAAGGUUAUCUAAAACAGAGCUCCAAUAAUCAGAGAGCAAUGUCAGUGUAAUCUGAAUAGUGGCCUCCAAGGUGACUACUUUAAGUGACUUCCCUCAUUUGGAUAUGUGGGCCCAGAAAUGUUUAUGCAAUUAAUUUAUGAAUUCCUCUCAUAGGGAAGUUUCUUCAAAUAAGAUAAUGGCUUAUGUGUCAUUGAUUUCAAUAGUAAUUUCACACUUUCAUUGUGUAUUAUUCACUACUGUGAUUUUUUUUUUUUCUAAUUGAGAUACAUCUUACAGUAAAGGACAUAAAUAUCAUGCGAAUGGCCUGAAGAAUUUUAACACUUAUAUUCUUCUGUGUAAUGAACACUAAGAUCAAGAAGUAGAAUGUUUCAAACAUUCCACAAGGCUCCCCAGGUCCCCUACCAGUCAGCAGCACCCCUGUUCCAGGUGACUACUAAUCUCACCUCUGAUCAUAGUAGAUUAGUUUAGAUUUCUUUUGAAUUUCAUACAAACGGAAUCAUAGAAUUGUACCCUUUUGCAUCUGACUUCUUUCACUUAAUGUCAUGCGUAUGAGACACACCCAUAUUCUUGUGUGUAACAGUAUUUUCUUCUUUUUGUUGCUCUGAAUAUUCUAUUAUGUGGUUAGACCACAAUUCAUCGACCC
RNAcentral lists this long non-coding RNA (6572 nucleotides) under Sus scrofa (pig). RNAcentral's name for it is "lncRNA (ENSSSCG00030012763.1)". Lineage: Eukaryota; Metazoa; Chordata; Mammalia; Artiodactyla; Suidae. The record is from RNAcentral.